GCCGGGUGCGGUGGGCAUGCCUGUAGUCCCAGCUACUCCGGAGGCUGAGGUGGGAGGAUCACUUGAGCCCAGGAGUUCUGGGCUGUAGUGCGCUAUGCCGAUAGGGUGUCUGCAGUAAAUUUGGCAUCAAUAUGGUGACCUCCCGGGAGCGGAGGACCACCAGGUUGCCUAAGGAGGGGUGAACCAGCCCACAUCGGAAGCGGAGCACGUCAAAACUCCCGUGCUGAUCAGUAGUGGGAUCGCGCCUGUGAAUAGCCACUGCACUCCAGUCUGGGCAACACAGCGAGACCCCGUCUCU
RNAcentral lists this signal recognition particle RNA (298 nucleotides) under Cebus imitator (Panamanian white-faced capuchin). RNAcentral's name for it is "Metazoan signal recognition particle RNA (ENSCCAG00000001318.1)". It matches the Rfam family "Metazoan signal recognition particle RNA". From Rfam's summary of the family: The signal recognition particle (SRP) is a universally conserved ribonucleoprotein. The record is from RNAcentral. Lineage: Eukaryota; Metazoa; Chordata; Mammalia; Primates; Cebidae.